RNAcentral lists this unclassified non-coding RNA (265 nucleotides) under air metagenome. RNAcentral describes it as "partial contains small subunit ribosomal RNA, internal transcribed spacer 1, and 5.8S ribosomal RNA". The stretch from base 1 to 46 matches the Rfam family "Eukaryotic small subunit ribosomal RNA", at positions 1786 to 1831 of the family's 1831-position model. The record is from RNAcentral.
AAGUCGUAACAAGGUUUCCGUAGGUGAACCUGCGGAAGGAUCAUUACCGAGUAAGGGUCUUUAUGGUAUAAGCCCGACCUCCAACCCUAUGUCUACUUUACCAAAUGUUGCUUCGGCGAGCCCGCUUUUCUAGGCCGCCGGAGGGCGUAACACCCCUCUGGUCAGUUGCUCGCCGGUGGCCCCCAAUCAAACUCUUGUUAAACAUGACGUCUGAGUGGAUUAAAUCAAUAAGUAAAAACUUUCAACAACGGAUCUCUUGGUUCUG